Non-coding RNA from Acanthosepion pharaonis, 104 nucleotides. The record is from the annotation of a GenBank genome assembly. NCBI's taxonomy places the organism in Eukaryota, Metazoa, Mollusca, Cephalopoda, Sepiida, Sepiidae.
AUCCCGUUGAAACAUCGGUUUCCUUACGAUCACCGAAGUUAAGCAACGUCCAGCCUUGUCAGUGCCUAGAUGGGUGACUGCUUGGGAAUACCAGGCGCUGUAAG